Molecule: unclassified non-coding RNA, 255 nt
Filed under: uncultured bacterium
Lineage: Bacteria
Description: contains 16S-23S intergenic spacer region
Source: RNAcentral
UCCGGUUUAUCACCUUCAGUCCCCCUAGAGUUCCCGGCCGAACCGCUUUAACUAGCAUGUCAAGCCCAGGUAAGGUUCUUCGCGUUGCAUCGAAUUAAGCCACAUGCUCCGCCGCUUGUGCGGGCCCCCGUCAAUUCCUUUGAGUUUUAGCCUUGCGGCCGUACUCCCCAGGCGGGGCACUUAAUGCGUUAGCUUCGGCACGGGGGGAGUCGACACCCCCCACACCUAGUGCCCAUCGUUUACAGCGUGGACUAC